RNAcentral lists this ribosomal RNA (501 nucleotides) under uncultured bacterium. RNAcentral's name for it is "partial 16S ribosomal RNA". It matches the Rfam family "Bacterial small subunit ribosomal RNA", at positions 30 to 523 of the family's 1533-position model. The record is from RNAcentral.
AUUGAACGCUGGCGGCAGGCUUAACACAUGCAAGUCGAGCGGAGAGAGGUAGCUUGCUACUGAUCUUAGCGGCGGACGGGUGAGUAAUGCUUAGGAAUCUGCCUAUUAGUGGGGGACAACAUUUCGAAAGGAAUGCUAAUACCGCAUACGUCCUACGGGAGAAAGCAGGGGAUCUUCGGACCUUGCGCUAAUAGAUGAGCCUAAGUCGGAUUAGCUAGUUGGUGGGGUAAAGGCCUACCAAGGCGACGAUCUGUAGCGGGUCUGAGAGGAUGAUCCGCCACACUGGGACUGAGACAAGGCCCAGACUCCUACGGGAGGCAGCAGUGGGGAAUAUUGGACAAUGGGCGCAAGCCUGAUCCAGCCAUGCCGCGUGUGUGAAGAAGGCCUUAUGGUUGUAAAGCACUUUAAGCGAGGAGGAGGCUACUUUAGUUAAUACCUAGAGAUAGUGGACGUUACUCACAGAAUAAGCACCGGCUAACUCUGUGCCAGCAGCCGCCGUAA